AUCUCCUCUCUCCCAGUUCAACGUCAACUACCCCCCUUACCCCUUACCCCACUUUCUCUCUCUCUCUCUCUCUCUCUCUCUCUCACUAUCUAUCUAUAAAUACCCACCCCUCCUCUCACGUUUUCUUUGUUAGCUUGCUAGGCAUUUUGGAUAACGAGAGAAAGUUUGAGUCUUGAGAGAGAGAGAGAGAGAGAGAGAGAGAGAAGGUGAGGAGUAGGUGGUGCUGUGGCUGUUUCUGGGUUGCGUGGAAGCACAACGUGUGUUGUUGUUUUUGACUUUUGGAAGCACAAUUGCAAUGGAGGUGGAUGGCAAAUCUGUGGUAGCAGGACCUACGAAUGUUAUUUUUCUGUCGACUAUUUUGGGCCGAGAUGGGUCAACUUCUGUUCACAAAUGUGACUGGAAAUGCCAGAACGAGCAUGUCUGCGCGAAUAUGUAUUGCUGCAAGCUAACUGGACUCACUCACAUCUGCGACAAAAACUGUGACCAGAGGAUCCUGUAUGAUAACCAUAGCUCCCUUUGUCGAGCAAGCGGAAAGAUUUUCCCCCUUACACCAGCAGAGGAACAGGCCGUGAGAGGGGUCCGGAGGAAGCUUGAGUCAGAGAACUCUUCUGCAGACAGUUGUUCUUCUAAGCGCCGACGGGAUGCCCAGUUCCAUCCUUCUCCUUUCGAGAGAUCCUUCUCUACAGUCAGUCUGAUCUGCAGCAAAGUUGGAGAUGGCAUGGAUAUGAGCUAGAGUUAUAAGAUAAAUGGAAGACUUUUAUUGCUUAUCUUUAUCUUGUUCCUUUGAAACCUUUCCUUAUUUUUCAUUCGUCGAACAGACAUGGAUGAUGAACUUGAUGAGUACUUAAGUGGCGGACCUAAUGUGUCCUACCCGUCUGUAGGAACAAUCUAUAUUUGUAGUCCUGUUUACUGCAAUUUAACUCAAACUUUAGCUUGACUUAAACAAGGAAUGUCAAUUCGGGGGUUGGUCAGGGUUUGUUUAACUGCUUAUGAAUCUUGGAUUUAUGUUUCUUCUUGCUAACCUUACUGCUUCGAAUGUGAGCUAUAUUCAGUACAGGGUGCUCUCAGGUCGUUUGUACGACUUGUGUCAUGAUUUAGCUGUGACUUUGUUGUCUUAUCCCAUUAAUUAUUUUGCCUUAUUAGGAACACUUCCUAUUGAUUUGCAUUACAUGAUGGUUGUAAUGCAGAAAUGUAAUUAAUUAUAUGUAAUAAUAAGUGGUUCCCUUAGUUACUUCUUUAUUUGGAUAUGUACUAUCUUUCAUUUUUGUUUACUGCUGGUGCAUGCAGCAUAGGUUGUUGUUGAGUUACUCUGCCUAGUUUGGUACAGGUUACACAGGAAUGAUCUGGUUUUCACACCUUUGAUUUAUUUUCAUUAUCGUACUUUGUUAUUUAUUUAUUUAUUUUUGCUUUGGUUAUUUGGGAGUAUGGAUCUGAAGUUAAUGUCAAUUUUGCAGGGCUUGAAGCAUGUGCUAUCAAGGAGACAUUAAAUAUGCUUGUAAUUGCAUCACUUAUUGGCGAAGAAAGCUACACCUGGUGAUGCUGACGAGUUUACCUGGCUGUCCUAAAUAUGUCAUGUAGAAAUGAUUGCACAUCAGAGAGACAUGUUAGGUCAGUCAAGCUUUCGAAUUCAAGUUCAAAUUUAACUGUGCUAGCUACGUGCACAAUAUGAUACAACUUCGACCAUACGGUAAUUAUUUGAUCCUUUCUGUUUGCCUUAUUGGUGGGGAAAACAGAGCAAUUUCUGCUCAGCCAUCAACGCAAAUUGCGCGAAUAUUCAGUUGCUUUUGAGCUCACACUAUGUUCAUCUGAUCUUACGCUGGUGGUUGGUGCCCUCCUUUUUCCGUGGCAGGUCCAAAUAAGUUGUGUUUGAGUUGUCCUGCCCAUGGCCUAUUUGGUUCGUUAAUAUUUUCCAUGGAAGGCAAAUCCUUUUGAGCCUGCAUGUCUGAAAGUCACUGGGCUAAGCAAGCAAUUAGGACCAAAUUUGGCUGAUUAGGUAGAAAGUGCAUUGAAAGUUGUAACUAGGAUAUUCCGUGUUACUAUAUUAGGUCAGUUAAUUUAGUUAUAAGUACUGUUAAAUUCAAACCCUUCUUAUUCUAGAGGAUUUUCGAAUCUCUUAAUAUGGUGAAAGCCCUCUUCUGUUAUAAAUUUUGUGGUGAUGCCAAGAUAUUUUGAUUACUUUGGCAUUAUCCGUUUGUGUACAUUAUAAUUGACUCAGUUUUAUGAGUAGUAAUUUCCUCUUAAUUUUC
Molecule: RNA transcript, 2246 nt
Organism: Prunus dulcis (almond)
Lineage: Eukaryota; Viridiplantae; Streptophyta; Magnoliopsida; Rosales; Rosaceae
Exons: 3
Source: RefSeq, a predicted model, not a curated record